This 587-nucleotide ribosomal RNA is filed under the name uncultured bacterium. Its description in RNAcentral is "bacterial SSU rRNA". It matches the Rfam family "Bacterial small subunit ribosomal RNA", at positions 102 to 684 of the family's 1533-position model. The record is from RNAcentral.
ACGGGUGAGUAAUGCUUAGGAAUCUGCCUAUUAGUGGGGGACAACAUCUCGAAAGGGAUGCUAAUACCGCAUACGUCCUACGGGAGAAAGCAGGGGACCUUCGGGCCUUGCGCUAAUAGAUGAGCCUAAGUCGGAUUAGCUAGUUGGUGGGGUAAAGGCCUACCAAGGCGACGAUCUGUAGCGGGUCUGAGAGGAUGAUCCGCCACACUGGGACUGAGACACGGCCCAGACUCCUACGGGAGGCAGCAGUGGGGAAUAUUGGACAAUGGGGGGAACCCUGAUCCAGCCAUACCGCGUGUGUGAAGAAGGCCUUUUGGUUGUAAAGCACUUUAAGCGAGGAGGAGGCUACCGAGAUUAAUACUCUUGGAUAGUGGACGUUACUCGCAGAAUAAGCACCGGCUAACUCUGUGCCAGCAGCCGCGGUAAUACAGAGGGUGCAAGCGUUAAUCGGAUUUACUGGGCGUAAAGCGCGCGUAGGUGGCCAAUUAAGUCAAAUGUGAAAUCCCCGAGCUUAACUUGGGAAUUGCAUUCGAUACUGGUUGGCUAGAGUAUGGGAGAGGAUGGUAGAAUUCCAGGUGUAGCGGUGA